RNAcentral lists this ribosomal RNA (442 nucleotides) under uncultured Acholeplasma sp. RNAcentral describes it as "bacterial SSU rRNA". It matches the Rfam family "Bacterial small subunit ribosomal RNA", at positions 936 to 1382 of the family's 1533-position model. Lineage: Bacteria; Bacillati; Mycoplasmatota; Mollicutes; Acholeplasmatales; Acholeplasmataceae. The record is from RNAcentral.
AGCAUGUUGUUUAAUUUCGAUGAUACGCGAAGAACCUUACCAGGUCUUGACAUCCCCCGCCGAUGCUUUAGAGAUAAAGCGGAGGUAUUCGGGGAGACAGGUGGUGCAUGGUUGUCGUCAGCUCGUGUCGUGAGAUGUUGGGUUAAGUCCCGCAACGAGCGCAACCCUAUUGCUAGUUACCAUCAUUAAGUUGGGGACUCUAGCGAGACUGCCAGUGAUAAACUGGAGGAAGGUGGGGAUGACGUCAAAUCAUCAUGCCCCUUAUGACCUGGGCUACAAACGUGAUACAAUGGCUGGAACAAAGGGAUGCGAAGCAGUGAUGUGGAGCGAAACCCAUAAAAACAGUCUCAGUUCGGAUUGAAGUCUGCAACUCGACUUCAUGAAGUCGGAAUCGCUAGUAAUCGCGGAUCAGAACGCCGCGGUGAAUACGUUCUCGGGGUUU